UAGGAAAUGCCUUUCACCUCCUGCCAUAAUUCUGAGGCCUCCCAGCCACGUGGAACUGUCCUAUUGCCACUUUUCAGCGCUGCAGCAGCUAGUCAGAUGACAACUGGGUGAGAACUUGGUCUCGAGUGUUUCCUGUGAGGCCGGAAUAUUGCUCUGAUUCCUCAGGGGCAACUCAGCACUCCAGUGGGAAAUAUGUGACCUCAUUUGCAUUUCCUAAUUGAAUUGCUAUCAGCUUUCCUGCAAGACUGCACCAAAGAACAGUUCUUCCAGAUUCCAGCACUGCCUGCAUUGCCCACAGAAAGGCUGCUUUUAAAUAGUUGCUAAGAGAGGGGGACAAAAGAAGGAGAAAAGUUGCCAAAUUGUUAUGGUUCAUCUAACUGUAAAGCUGUCAGUUUUACCCAACUCCACAGAAUUGCUAAAAUAAUGGACGGAUGAUGCUGCACUUGAAGAAACCUCUACAUAAGAGAAAUGAAAUUCACAGAACCAGGAAAUUAGGGGUCCCCGUGUGCCUGCCCUGGCAGAAUUUGCUUCCAGGCUCCUCUCAAUAAACACUGCCCUGGGACUCCUAGCACUCUGUAAACUGAUGCUUUGAAGGAGUCCAUUUGUUUCUCCAGAAACUUCCUCCAGCAGAACUCUUGCUCACCACGUGCCCCCAUCAGAACUCCCACCUUCUCCAAACACAGUCAGAUAGCCCUCUGCAUGCAUUUGUUUUAAAAAAAACUAAAUUGUGAGUGAUAGUAUAAGCACCACAGCAUACAGAGCAUCAGCUAAAUAAAUGAUGGCAGAAUGAGCACCUGUCUUGCCACAAGGCUCCCUCCAA
Chlorocebus sabaeus (green monkey) is the source of this 820-nucleotide non-coding RNA. Lineage: Eukaryota; Metazoa; Chordata; Mammalia; Primates; Cercopithecidae. The record is from RefSeq and is a predicted model, not a curated record.